Molecule: long non-coding RNA, 1258 nt
Organism: Chelonia mydas (Green sea turtle)
Lineage: Eukaryota; Metazoa; Chordata; Testudines; Cheloniidae
Exons: 3
Source: RefSeq, a predicted model, not a curated record
GACAGACAUCAUCUUUCUUUCCAAAUGCAAAACAUCAUACCAAAAGGACUGAAGAGAUAGACAAUAGAGAACAUACAGUAAGCCCCAAAGACCAAGAUGUCUUCAAAACUGUGCUGCCUUCAGCCCUACCCCAGAAUGUGAAAUGCCUGGUUUUGAACGAUGACCAUGCUAGACAGCAGCUCCAAGGAUCACUGGACAGGGUUUUUCUUUUCAGGAAACUCUGUGAUACAGCCUUCAAUCACGUGUCCUCGAAUGGUGAAACUACUGAAAGGCUCUGGCUCUCAUACUCACCAUCGACUGACUGUGUCUUCUGUUUUGUGUGCAAAUUGUUUUCUCCGAACAGCACAUCUGCACUAGCCAAGAGAGGAUUUGAUUCAUGGGAUCACAUUGGCAGACUUGGUGACCCUGAAAGUUCUUCUGAGCACUGACAAGCUCUCACAGCUUAUAUAAUGCGUUUAUUGAAGACUCAAACCCUUGAUAAACAUACAAGAGAUAGACAUAUUAAAGAAAGAAAUUACUGGACAGAAGCAUUGAAGUGAGUCUUAUCAGCAAUAACAUUUCUGAGAACACGAGCUCUGGCACUGAGACAGGCUAAUGAAAGCUUUGGCAGUCUUAAUAAUGGCAACUUCAUUGGCUGCUUAGAGUUGGUAGCAGAAUAUGACCCUUACCUGGCCCUCCACAACAAGUAUGGGAAUGCUGGUCAUGGCACAACAUCAUAUCUAUCAUCAACAAUCUGUGAAGAGUUCACCAAACUCAUGGCUGACAAUGUAAAGCAAGAUAUUGUGGAUGAGGUAAAAUUGGCUAAUUAUUUUUCCUUCAGCAUUGAUUCCACACCAGAUAUUAGCCAUACUGAUCAGCUGACAUUUACUGUGUGCUACAUGCUGAAUAACUGCACACCUAUGGAAUGCUUCUUGAAUUUUGUUCCAGUUACAUGGCAUACAGGUCUUCAUCGGUUUAAUGUUAUCAUUGAAACCUUAAGUGACGAACUAAAUAUCCAUCUAAAGCAGGGUUCUCAAACAUGCAGUCCACAGAGUUCUUUGCUGCGGCCCACCAAGCUCCCCGACCCCCCCCCCCUCUGAGUUACUUCCUGUGGCUGCCAAACUCCCCCCACCCCCUCCGGAGUUAUUUCCUGUGGCUGCUACCCUCCCCUCAUCCUCUGCUCCCCACUUCCCAGAGCGCCACUCCCCACUCCUUUGCCUACCUCCAGGCACUUCCCACCACCAAACAGCUGUUUGGCGGCACUUAGCGCUUUCUAGGA